Molecule: ribosomal RNA, 322 nt
Filed under: Phylladiorhynchus janiqueae
Lineage: Eukaryota; Metazoa; Arthropoda; Malacostraca; Decapoda; Galatheidae
Description: partial large subunit ribosomal RNA
Rfam family: Eukaryotic large subunit ribosomal RNA
Source: RNAcentral
CGAAAGAUGGUGAACUAUUCCUGGCCAGGAUGAAGCCAGAGGAAACUCUGGUGGAGGUCCGAAUCAUUUCUGACGUGCAAAUCGAUUGUCAGAGCUGGGUAUAGGGGCGAAAGACUAAUCGAACCAUCUAGUAGCUGGUUCCCUCCGAAGUUUCCCUCAGGAAAGCUGGCGUUCAAUAUGAUUUUCAUCUGGUAAAGCGAAUGAUUAGAGGUGUUGGGGACGCAAUGUCCUCAACCUAUUCUCAAACUUUAAAUGGGUGAGAUGUCAAGCUUUCAUUAUUGAAGCUUUGGCGUAAAAUCAGAGUGCCAAGUGGGCCAUUUUU